AAUGGUGGUUCCAAUAAUAAAUGAUCCGAUUGUUGUUGCUGCUGUUGUUGUUGUACUUCUUGACAUUCAGAAGGUGGUAAAUGAGAAGUCAAAGACUGGCUACUACCUGUACCCUGGCUUCUGUCAGUUGAAUACGUAGAGCAAGCUCUUCUCUAAAAAAUACGUCAGGGUAGUGUGUCUUCUGAAAAGCUCUUUCCAGUUCUUCCAAUUGAAAAUUCGUAAACGUAGUACGGUACCUACGUUGCUUCCUUUUACCAACUCCAGACGAUUGCCUGUCUUCGCUUCCCGGGCUCGGCGAAAAAUCGUAUGCUGUAACGCAUCAUUGACAAUAUUACCAAGUUGUAUGAUCUUUACAAGGUAACUGAAUCAUUUUACUACGAAUUGAGACACGUUCGUAGAGAGUAUCAUUGCAAGUUGAGGGAUUCAUUCACGAUUCAAGCAUUGCUCCUCGCACUUAAUCACGCUGAAUUUACGUGGCGUAAAAUGGUUCAUAACGGUUAAACUGAUUACUACUAACUCUAUUUAAAACAAGGGUUGCCGAUUCACUUAAUGCAUUUAGCAAUAAUUUAAUUGAGGACUGCCCCAACUUACGGAGCCGACAGGUAGAGAGUGGCAGUUAAUUAAAUCAGGUCUGGGGUGGCAGGGUGCACUUACAGAAUUUUGUAGGAAAGCAAACCGAGGAAGAUUGAGCGCCUAUCAGACCAGCUAGAGCAGUCGACUGUAGAUCUCCUCCGGGGUUGAUCUCGUCGUGUGCCCCAGCAGAAGCUACGAUCGCUCCAGUAGAUACUAGAGGAUCACGCGGUGCACCCACUAAAAACAAUUGUCUGCCACUUUCGUUCGCACUUUCGUCUUCUUCUUUUAAAUCCAUUGUAAUAUUUGGCUUCCGUUGUUUAAUUAAUUAAAUAUCGAGUAGCCCAAGCAAGUGGUAGACUGGUGAAGGAUAGGCUAAUGGUAAUUGAAUCACUACCAGGUUGAGAAGUUCGUGUGGGUACCACCGCGACUCCGCAACUCUGCUAUUUCUUUUCUCUUUUCCUCCUUUUUUUCCUUACACCUGUGCAAUGUAGAUAGGGUAGGGGAUAGAGUAUAUUCAACGUGAACUCCCUCAAGAGGGGUAGUGAAGCCUCAAAAAUGUAUUGCUUAUACACCACGAAUCAAUAGCAUAGGUGUACACUCGAAAAAAAGUUAUAUGUAGCUUUUCUUUAUACGGCUCUAAGAAUUUAUGGAAAAUUAAAAAAAAAUAAUUGUAUAUUUAUAUCACAACAACCAAUUUUUUUAUCUCAAUUUAAUUCUUUAAUUACUGCAGAUUGCUUAUUUUAUUACGUAUUUUAAGAUACAUUAUCAGUUAUAAACUAAAACAU
Long non-coding RNA from Megachile rotundata (alfalfa leafcutting bee), 1358 nucleotides. NCBI's taxonomy places the organism in Eukaryota, Metazoa, Arthropoda, Insecta, Hymenoptera, Megachilidae. The record is from RefSeq and is a predicted model, not a curated record.